CGAAACUAACUUAAAUAACACACAUAUAUCGACACAGUGUUCGGGGUGUUUUCUACUAGUUUAUCAGUAGAGGAUCGAGUACUGGGAUAUAUGGAGGCCUAAC
Molecule: small RNA, 103 nt
Filed under: Paraglaciecola hydrolytica
Lineage: Bacteria; Pseudomonadati; Pseudomonadota; Gammaproteobacteria; Alteromonadales; Alteromonadaceae
Description: Paraglaciecola sp. S66 t44 RNA
Rfam family: t44 RNA
About the family: This family consists of a number of bacterial RNA genes of between 135 and 170 bases in length. The t44 gene is found between the map and rpsB genes in all species in the full alignment apart from Shigella flexneri. The function of this RNA is unknown.
Source: Rfam by way of RNAcentral